UACGGGGGGAGCAAGCGUUGUUCGGAUUUACUGGGCGUAAAGGGCGUGUAGGCGGCCACCGCAAGUCGGUUGUGAAAUCUCCGGGCUUAACCCGGAAAGGUCAACCGAUACUGCGGGGCUAGAGUGCAGAAGGGGCAACUGGAAUUCUCGGUGUAGCGGUGAAAUGCGUAGAUAUCAGGAGGAACACCGAUUGCGAAGGCAGCUCGCUGGGACGUUACUGACGCUGAGACGCGAAAGCGUGGGGAGCAAACAGG
RNAcentral lists this ribosomal RNA (254 nucleotides) under uncultured bacterium. Its description in RNAcentral is "partial 16S ribosomal RNA". It matches the Rfam family "Bacterial small subunit ribosomal RNA", at positions 524 to 776 of the family's 1533-position model. The record is from RNAcentral.